Molecule: ribosomal RNA, 425 nt
Filed under: uncultured bacterium
Lineage: Bacteria
Description: partial 16S ribosomal RNA
Rfam family: Bacterial small subunit ribosomal RNA
Source: RNAcentral
GUGGGGAAUCUUGCGCAAUGGGCGAAAGCCUGACGCAGCCAUGCCGCGUGGAUGAUGAAGGUCUUAAGAUUGUAAAAUCCUUUCACCGGUGAAGAUAAUGACUGUAGCCGGAGAAGAAGCCCCGGCUAACUUCGUGCCAGCAGCCGCGGUAAUACGAAGGGGGCUAGCGUUGCUCGGAUUUACUGGGCGUAAAGGGCGCGUAGGCGGACAUUUAAGUCAGGGGUGAAAUCCCGGGGCUCAACCUCGGAACUGCCUUUGAUACUGGGUGUCUUGAGUAUGAGAGAGGUGUGUGGAACUCCGAGUGUAGAGGUGAAAUUCGUAGAUAUUCGGAAGAACACCAGUGGCGAAGGCGACACACUGGCUCAUUACUGACGCUGAGGCGCGAAAGCGUGGGGAGCAAACAGGAUUAGAUACCCCAGUAGUCC